GCACCUAAAAGAACAGACAUUGUGAAUUUAAUAAUUCAUCAAUUCAAAUAUGAGACAGUUGAUCACAGAGGGAACUGGACAAAAACAAAUCCCCCAAAAUGACUCAGUUGAUUCGCUGUCUGUACCCAGGUAUGAUCCAGAUGUAUGAGUUUGUGUUAUUCACAUCAUUCAUAAUGCACAUCAAGACAAGAUUAAAAUCUACAGUGUGAAGUAGUAACUUGUUGAAUUCAAAUUGAAGGAGAAAAAAAUGAGUAUUUGAAUUGAUUCAUCAUAGCCACUCUGAUAUGAUACAAUUUAAUUUUGAAGAAGAAAAAUGAUUUAUAUACACAUUUCUUAGUAAAAUUUUCUAUUUCUUGCUAAUAACAUUUUAAUUCAGAAAAUGCAUUGAGCACCUUAGAUUACAUAUUGUUGAACUAUUGGCAUUAAUAUCUGUAUUUUCAUGUUAUUUAC
RNAcentral lists this long non-coding RNA (450 nucleotides) under Bos taurus (domestic cattle). RNAcentral describes it as "long non-coding RNA NONBTAT006623". The record is from RNAcentral. Lineage: Eukaryota; Metazoa; Chordata; Mammalia; Artiodactyla; Bovidae.